Molecule: long non-coding RNA, 6396 nt
Organism: Hipposideros armiger (great roundleaf bat)
Lineage: Eukaryota; Metazoa; Chordata; Mammalia; Chiroptera; Hipposideridae
Exons: 3
Source: RefSeq, a predicted model, not a curated record
AGGCGGGGUCAGAGGCCAGGGAGGGUCCUGUCUAUGACUGCCCUCAGAAGCUGGGGCAUGUGGGCUCUCUGGGGGCACUCAAGCUCAGCUGGGGUGGAACAGGGGACCUUGGGCCAUGGCAAUGAUCAUCCUUGAGCCUCUGCCCAGGACCUGGACACCACUGAGGCCCUCGGCAUCCAGGGUCUCACUCACCUGUAGCCUAGCAGACCCUUCUGAGAGCUGGACUGUAACCCCAUUAGUCCUCGGAGAUUCAGGGUGAGAUCAGGUAAUUUAUUGGUCUGCCUAAUUAGGCCUCUUCAUUAAUAAUAUAUUCCUGUUAAUGAUCUUCUCUCUUUUGUGGCGUUAAACCUGUCAGUAGGCUGCUUGCUGGGUAGCGGGAGGCAGCUGGGGCAGCUGGUAAGGCCUGGGGUCCUAAGAUGUGAGGGGGCUCUGGAAGGCUGGGUGGGGAGCCAUGUGCAGGAUCCCCAGCUUCUAGCAUUGUUAUGAGAAGCGCCGGGGAGUGGGCAGGGGUGGUGGCCUGGCCCAGAAGACAGCUGGGUGAGUCCUGUGGUUAGUGGGCACGGUCAGGGCAGUGCUAGGGUGGCCCAAGCUCUAGUGGCAGAGGCCUGGGGAUGGUAGAAAUGUUAGAGAACAAGGUUUGGGUGGAAGGAGGCUUGGAUAGCAUAUUUGAGGCAAUCCCACGAGGUGACAGAGGAGAAAUAAUGGGGCAACACUUCCUAUGGGGUGAGACCUGGGCCACUGGGGGGUAUUAUUGCACCAUUUUACAGAUGAGGAAACUGGGGUCAGAGAGGGGAGGAACCUAUCACCGCCCAAGAUCCAGAUGAAGAAAUGGGUACUGUCCCCACCUGCCUGGCUCUUUCUGCAGGAUCCUUCCCUCCGGACUACGUCCAGCCCGCAUCCCAGCCAACCCUGCCUCAUGGGCUGAGAGUCAGACCCGGUGGGAGCAGAGAACACAGUCAACGCUGGGGGGCGGCUGUGGGAGGCUCACAGGGGCGGCCAAGCACAUGACCCCCUCCGCCUCCAGGUCAGGUAGACAAGGGUCCAAUUCUCACCAUCCCCUCUGCAGUCGGCAAAGAGGAGUCCUCCGUCAGGCACGGUCACAAAGCUUCUUAGACUUAAUUAAAAUCAAUCUCCAAUUACUCAAAUGCCAUUGAUUCAGGUCUCAACCAAUGAAGAAAAUAUGAUCAUCAUUAUGGGAAACGUCAAUAUUAGGAUGUUGUGCAUUUGUCUCUGCACAGAGCAGCCCACGUGCAGAACCCACUUCCAGACCCUUCUGGGAAGGACAGCUCUGCCACUCUCCGCCGGGCAUCCCUGAAUUGUUACCUUCUGGCUGAGCCUCAGGAGCUCACAGAAACGAAGGCCGUUGGGAGGCUCAAGGAUUUCCAAACAGUGUGUAUCUCAGGUGGCCUAAGCAGAUGCCAUGGAGAUGGCCUGAUAUCAUUGUGUGGCUGGGGUCCUCUGGUUGUUGUAGUGGGCACCCUCGGCUGAGUCUCAUUGGGGUCCUUGGCUCUUGUCCAAUCAGCCCCUGGGUGAUAGAGUGCAGGAAGGAAGGGCCUCAUGGCCUUUCCAUAAACCCCUCUCAUGUGGUGUUUCAAGGCCUGGACUCAGCCCAGGGGCUUGUUGGGCAGCAGGUGUUUGGUGCGCAGCAUCAGACACCUGGACCUCUGUGCUCUUUGGUUCAGACCUCUGGUUCAGCCUUUGCAAGGGAGCAAGGAUGGAAAGCAGGGCACAUUAACAGAGGUAGAACAUCCGGGAGGAAGAAGGUGACACUGUGUGUGGGCUGGAAGAAGUGGCUUAGACCAGAUAACCUUGGGUCCUGGUCUGGCUUUUGAGUCUUGAGCCUGCCCUGGGGCCGAGGGGCAGCCACACCUGUGAGGGACCAAGGGCGGAGGGAAACCUUGAGAGAUGGUUAAGGUAGCCGAGGAGUAACUAGUGCCAUGUUCUAAGUCACCUAAUCUAGUUUUCUGUUUUUCCUUAGAGAAACAAAUAUAAAACCCGCAAAUCUCCUACCCUUAAGGUAGAAUAAAACACCUCCCAUAAACGCAGCAAACUAAACGCUUGUGUGAUUCUCUGUCAUGGCUAUGGAAAGGCAAUGGGCUCCCCACGGGGAUGAGAGGAGAGAGGCAGAUGAGGGAGGCUCAGGGGGAGGGAAAACGGAGAAAGAUCGUUGUAAGUCACACAUGCUGGCUGCAGGGUCUGGGUUCUGUUUUCUGUGUUCUCUGCCCUUGACUACUGUCCCCAGCUGCCUCCUGGGCCCGAGCUCUUGUGUCUGUCCAGGGGUGGGAGGAAGGGGUGUGGGAGCUCUGCGCCUGUAGUAGGGGUCAGACUUCUCCAGGGUAGGGCCACAUGCUGGAGUAAUGGGGCUUUGGCCAGAGUCAGGCAUGGGCUGUGAUAGGUCUCCAGAGCUGCUGGGGCCUGACGAGCAUUGGUGGGGGCUCCACCUGAAUUCCAGUGUGUCCCCUGCCCCCUCUCCCUGGGGAGUCAACCCAUGAAGCCCAGAGAGGCCCCGCGCUGGGCCAUGCAUGGCCAGGAGGUCAGGGAGCAAAACCCCAGGUGGCCUUUAGUGCGUGGGUCUGGGGGGUGGGUGGUGACAGGACCUGAGGACACUCAGGCUAACAGGCCUGCCCCUAAUUGUCAUACUCUUGGCCAUCCCUGUGCGCCUCAACCGAACCUUCCCAGCAAAGGCCUGCCUUGUGCUGAGUCUUUUGUUACUUUAAUUAAUGGCCAGCUUCCUGAUGAAUAAUUAAGCUGAAAUUGUUCCAUGUCCAAUAGCUGAGUGUCCCAUUAGAUACAAGUUAAUAUAAUGGCCGUAGUGGCAGUAAAAUGAGGCUGGUACAGCCCUGGGGAAAGCUGGCCACACACAGGGAAGGCACCCAGCCUGUGCCCCCCGCCUGCGUGGGGUGGGGGUCCUUCACCGGGCCACGCACUUGGGGGCCCAGCCCAGAGGGAGCUUGACCCUCCUCUGAGCCCGGGGCCUCCAGCUCCCCUGCACCCUGGAGGGGAACCUGCUUUUUUCCUGCUGAUGCUCCCUGCUUCCUAUUAUAUGAGAAAUUCAGGUGAGUGUAAGAAAAAUUGCAAUAUGCAGAAAAAUUAGAGAAAGGAAAAGGAGGACCCCUGCACCCCAGAAAUGAGUGUCCCUUUCCCUGUGUUAUCUUCCUGUGGUCCUGCCUUGGGCUCUGCCAGGGGCUGGAUGGUGCUCUCUGAGGCCUGUGGUGAGGCAGGGGCAGGGGUCCCUUGAGCAAGCAGUGGGCACUGAGGCCAGUAGCGAGGAGUCUCUUAUUCUUCAGGCCUGGUAGUUCCAGGAGAAGCCCCAGGGCACAGGAUUGGGGGUGGCUGGACAAGGUUGGCUCUGACCCUGAUGUCCCCACUGUGCAGGGGAGCCUCUGGGGAGGGCUGCCAGUGGCCAAAGGGGUCAUGCCUGGUUGGCCUGUCCCCCUUGAGUUUGGAUUCCAUUCCUGGAGUAAUUGGAGUGGGUGGAGUGGACCGGAAGGAAGGCCACCCUGGGGAGGCCUGUGGAAGUCACCAUGUGGGUGCUGAUUUCUCUCUGUGUUAGGCUCCCACAUGAGGGCCCCCUGAGGCGGGAGUGGCCCUAGCCCAAGGUUGGGGCUCAGGGGGGAGCUGGUUGUGCCAGUUGUGGGGUGGGCUCAGGUGUGGGGACCAGGGCAGGUCUCUGGUUGGUAGUGGUGCUGUGCCUGGCACUCCUUCCGCAGCUUGUAUGCUGUCUGGAGCCAACUUGAGGUUGGGGCUGCAUCCAUCUUGCCCCCUACUGUCCCCCAGUAUCCAGCUCAGUGCCCCUGAGGGGCUGGGUAAGUGUAUGUGUUAGGAGAUGGCAGUGCAUCUCAUGCUUCCACCCAGGGAUGCCCCAUGACUUGGCAUUUUUGAGGAACCAAGGACCACCCCCCAUGUUCCUUCCCAGAAGGACAUGGCCCCUUGCACCCCACUGUACAUUCGGUUUUUCUCUGAGCUCCUCGUUUGUGGUGUGGCGGUUGCUGUUUGCACAGAGCAAAUCCAGGGCACGUUUGUUUAGUGAGAUUGCCUCUGUAACAGGGGUCCCACAGGACAGGACAGGCACGGCGAGAAGUGUGCACACACUGAGCAUAGCCCCGCGAGUGGCUCUGUCUACUCUGGAAGUGAGGACACUGCAGCCAGCCCAGAGCAUUGGAUGGCACGGUCAUAAGGUGGCCACUCACAGUGGGGCACUGGACUCGCACAAAUCAGGUCCUUACACGGUGGCCCUAUCAUAGUAGCCCUUUGGCCAAUCUCCUGGGCUUUGAGAGCUAUGUGUAGAGGGCUCCACCCUGGGCCCAAGGUCAGGGGGAGCAGCCCCCUUCCCUGAGGGAGGGAGACCCAGACCAGAGGCGUGGGAAGAGUGGGAGGUGGCAAGUGCCAACAGCAGAUGUAGACACUCUGAGGGCCUGGCUAGGGGAGUGGUGGGACCAGCCUGUGACCAAAACAUGACCCUGGAGCCAAGGACACCAGGGUUUAUGAGCUUGCUCUGCCAUUUAUAAGCUGGGGGACCUUGGGCAGGUGGGUCUCCAUCUCUGAGUCAGUGGACAGGGUACAAGGAGGGAUCUUGCCCACAGGUAAGAUGAGCAAUAUGUUGGCUACACAAGGGCUGGGCCCUGCGUUGUCCUGGGCAAUCAGCUAAGGGCAAAUAGGUCGGGGGAGGUAACUGGGGGCAAGGCAUCCAGGGGGCACCGAAGGCAGUCACCCCCGCCUGCAGAGCCUGAGUCCCAUUUGAGCACUGAGACCCUGCCUGGGCAAGGACCCCCUUUCGGCUUCACCUCCUGAGCAUGGUUGGUACAGGGUUUACUGCACCCCUUAUCCACUCAGGAAGGGAGGGGACCCUGGGGGGAUUUAUCCCAUCACUAUUCAGAAAGGAGAGCCUAGCUACAAUCGUGGGGUCACUUCCUAUUCUUUUUUCUGGAAAAGAGGCCCAUGAGGGGCUCUGCCUGGAGCUUUGGGGUGCUUCAGUUGGUCCUAUUUUCUAAGGGGCAUGUUGGCACCUGUGGGUUCUGGGGUGGGUCCGGAUGAGCCUUUGCUGUCCCUAGCACACUGUACUGAGCCCUGCCUGCAGGGGCUUACAAGGCCCCUGAAGGUGGCCACACAGUCCUUGACCCUCUAUGACACUGGUCUUUUUCCCUCCCUGGACCCAGGCAGGUCUGGGACACCUUUGACCAUUAAUGUUAGGUGGACAUGGUGCUGUGCUGAGUCCAGGCCUUCCGAGCCUUUCCACCUCCUGCUCUUGACCCUGAGCUGCCACAUACGGAGUCUGACUUCCUUGGAGAGGGGCCUCUUGCUGAGCCCCCUGCCAGCCAGCUCACCAGAACCAGGCACGCACUGAGUGCCACGGAGGGACCCCUGUGGACACCACAUGGAAUAGAACCUCAUCCGCCCAGCCCUGCCCAAUUCCAGACCCACUGGCUGAGCACACAAGAGCCACUGGGCCAGUUUGUUACCUACAGCAGCCCCAGUGGCAUCGAGGACAUUGACUGAGAAUUACACUGGCGAACCCCCACCUAUGCCUCGCAAUCUAGCUCCACAAAGCCCCAGCAGCCAAGGAGAAAACAAGGACUUUAUGGCUGGUGCAUUUUACAGUCCAUGACUGCUGUGAACACCGGACUCCUCUUGGAACUGGAAGACUCAUAAAAUGCAUGUGAAUUUUUAUGUUCCAUUAUCCCAGGUAGCUACCCUCUAGGACCCCAGCCUGUGUCAGCCCCACUCCUGCUCACGCUCAGAUGAGAAGCCUGGCCCCUCCUGUCUUCCCGGGCGUCACUCCACGCACUUACUUGCUUUACCCUGGGGAACAGCUGGCUCUGGCCAGGCUCUAACUGCUCUACCCUGUCUCCUCCUCCCCUACUUCCCUUCCCACCUGUGAGGCAGGUAAGGUCUCCUUAGUCCACCUGAGCCCUUGCCAGAGGCUCCCACGUGGAUGACACUUCGUUGUGUGAGGCACCCCACCAAAGCCAGAGAAACCUGUGCCACCAGGGCUGGAGGACCAGGGCUCCCCGGGCUCCUGGGGGACCGUGCCCCUGACAGAGCCUGUUGUCCUGAGCCUCUGUUUCCUCUCCUGAAAAAUGGACUUGUGACUACCAUUACAGCUGAGAAAAUGCCUAGCAAGGGAUUGGUACUUGGGCUGCGUUACCCAGGGCUGAGGGCAGGGGCUGCCCAGGGUUUGGCUGCGCAGGGGAGCCGAGCGCAGCGGGGAGCAGGCUCAUCAGUUGCAGCCUCACGUCCUUUCAUUACGGUGCCUGCAGAAGAUGUUCUCUGAUUAGUCUGCUGAAUUAUGAAUUAGGUUCCGGGUCCCUGUGCAGCUGUUCCCGGCUUGUCAUCCCCACCACUUUAUUUCCCCAUCUGCUUAUAAAACCAGGAGCUCCGUCCUGCAAUAAACACUUC